Molecule: ribosomal RNA, 465 nt
Filed under: uncultured bacterium
Lineage: Bacteria
Description: partial 16S ribosomal RNA
Rfam family: Bacterial small subunit ribosomal RNA
Source: RNAcentral
GACGAACGCUGGCGGCGUGCUUAACACAUGCAAGUCGAGCGGAAAGGCCCUGCUUGCAGGGUACUCGAGUGGCGAACGGGUGAGUAACACGUGGGUGAUCUGCCCUGCACUUCGGGAUAAGCCUGGGAAACUGGGUCUAAUACCGGAUAGGAGCCAUUUUUAGUGUGAUGGUUGGAAAGUUUUUUCGGUGUAGGAUGAGCUCGCGGCCUAUCAGCUUGUUGGUGGGGUAAUGGCCUACCAAGGCGGCGACGGGUAGCCGGCCUGAGAGGGUGGACGGCCACAUUGGGACUGAGAUACGGCCCAGACUCCUACGGGAGGCAGCAGUGGGGAAUAUUGCACAAUGGGCGCAAGCCUGAUGCAGCGACGCCGCGUGGGGGAUGACGGCCUUCGGGUUGGAAACUCCUUUCGCUAGGGACGAAGCUUUUUGUGACGGUACCUAGAUAAGAAGCACCGGCUAACUACGUG